This 803-nucleotide ribosomal RNA is filed under the name uncultured bacterium. Its description in RNAcentral is "bacterial SSU rRNA". It matches the Rfam family "Bacterial small subunit ribosomal RNA", at positions 9 to 860 of the family's 1533-position model. The record is from RNAcentral.
GAGUUUGAUCAUGGCUCAGGAUGAACGCUAGCGGCAGGCUUAACACAUGCAAGUCGAACGAAGUAGCAAUACUUAGUGGCAGACGGGUGAGUAACAUGUAGGUAUCUACCCUUUGGCCUGGAAUAACACGAGGAAACUUGUGCUAAUACCGGAUAAGUCUUUACGGAGAAAGCUUUAUGCACCAUUGGAUGAGCCUGCACUUGAUUAGUUUGUUGGUGGGGUAAUGGCCUACCAAGACUGUGAUCAAUAGCUGAUUUGAGAGGAUGAUCAGCCACAUUGGGACUGAGACACGGCCCAAACUCCUACGGGAGGCAGCAGUGGGGAAUCUUGCACAAUGGAGGAAACUCUGAUGCAGCGAUGCCGCGUGAGUGAAGAAGGCCCUUGGGUUGUAAAGCUCUUUCGUCGGGGAAGAAAAUGACUGUACCCGAAUAAGAAGGUCCGGCUAACUUCGUGCCAGCAGCCGCGGUAAUACGAAGGGACCUAGCGUAGUUCGGAAUUACUGGGCUUAAAGAGUUCGUAGGUGGUUGAAAAAGUUGGUGGUGAAAUCCCAGAGCUUAACUCUGGAACUGCCAUCAAAACUUUUCAGCUAGAGUUUGAUAGAGGAAAGCAGAAUUUCUAGUGUAGAGGUGAAAUUCGUAGAUAUUAGAAAGAAUACCAAUUGCGAAGGCAGCUUUCUGGAUCAUUACUGACACUGAGGAACGAAAGCAUGGGUAGCGAAGAGGAUUAGAUACCCUCGUAGUCCAUGCCGUAAACGAUGUGUGUUAGACGUUGGAAAUUUAUUUUCAGUGUCGCAGCGAAAGCGA